AGUCCUAGAAGCUGGGUUAGAGUCCUAGAAUAAGAAUAAGGCCUUUGGUCUGGGCUAGAGUCCUAGAAGCUGGGUUAGAGUCCUAGAAUAUUUUCCUUUAGGUCGGGUUGUAGUCCCGACUUGGGUUCCAGAGAGACUGUUGAUCUGAUCUUAAAUACAUUGCACUUUCAAUUUUACUUACUAAAAAGCCUUUUUAACUUUCAAUUUAAUUUUCUCUUAAAUACAUUGCACUUUCUAUUUUACUCAUUUCUUGCAUAUGUUUUCUUUUACUUAUCUAUUAUUUUAUUUUAUUGUAUGACAAUGUUUAUAUGUGAAGCACUUUGAGUCUGCCUUGUGUAUGAAAAGUGCUAUAUAAAUAAAGUUGCCUUGCCUUG
Long non-coding RNA from Gadus macrocephalus (Pacific cod), 374 nucleotides. RefSeq lists it as uncharacterized. Lineage: Eukaryota; Metazoa; Chordata; Actinopteri; Gadiformes; Gadidae. The record is from RefSeq and is a predicted model, not a curated record. The transcript is spliced from 2 exons.